Xenopus laevis (African clawed frog) is the source of this 822-nucleotide long non-coding RNA. RefSeq lists it as uncharacterized. The record is from RefSeq and is a predicted model, not a curated record. NCBI's taxonomy places the organism in Eukaryota, Metazoa, Chordata, Amphibia, Anura, Pipidae. The transcript is spliced from 2 exons.
CCAGACCCUAGACCAGGCAGACCUCAGAUCAGGACCAAAAUAACAGACCUCAGAUCAGGACCAAAAUAACAGACCUCAGGUGACCCAAAAGUGAAGCAGUGAUCCUGUCCUGUGUGAAGAUUCAGCAUUCCUGUCAGCAGCCUGUUCCUGUCAGCAGCCUGUUCCUGUCAGCAGUGAAGAGAGAGCAGCCAAAAUAAGCAUCCGCUCCCUUGGAGAUGCAGCCGGGAAAUGAAGCCGCACUACCGACGCCAUCUGAAAACUCGGUUGCUAUGUGACGUCACUUCCGGAAGUGAUGUCACAAAACAGGAAGUUGGUCCCGGAAGAGAGCCACAGCAGCGCGCACGUACAGAAGAUGAAGAAGAACAAGGAAGAAGAUGGCAGAGACCCCUUGGACACCAUGGGACAGUGCCGGUUUGAGAUUUCUCCAACCUCUUACCCUUACAGCAGGAAAGAUCAGCAUAUUGUAGGAACAACCCGGUUUCUGUAGUUAGCUGCUGGUUUUCUUCAACAAUCCACAAGUAAUACAUCAUGGAUCAGCGAUUCCAGCAUGGUCUGACUUUGAACAGACAACCACUCUAUCCUGUCUGUAGAACUUUGGCACAUUCUGGAUAUGGAAAUUUAAAUGAAUGUUAUCUAUAUAAUUCUUCUAACCCUAACUCUUUUACAAACACAGGGAAUCUGUGAUGAGAUUAAUUUAUUUUUGUGGUACUUGUAUAAAAUGUAUUUUAUUCAAUACACUGUAAGUGUUACUUGUACUUAUAACAGGUUUCCUGACUGUACAAUUAAGGUGUUACCAAUAAUGAAUAAAAAACAUAAUCUUUA